GUGCCCAGCUUACCAGCGCAUAUACUAGAAUUAGAAUAACACGGAGAAGAUUAGCAUGGCCCCUGCACGAGGGUGAUGCACAAAUUCAUGAAACAUUCCGUAUUUUU
Molecule: small nuclear RNA, 107 nt
Filed under: Chinchilla lanigera (long-tailed chinchilla)
Lineage: Eukaryota; Metazoa; Chordata; Mammalia; Rodentia; Chinchillidae
Source: RNAcentral